GAUGAAGAACGUAGCGAAAUGCGAUACUUGGUGUGAAUUGCAGAAUCCCGUGAACCAUCGAGUCUUUGAACGCAAGUUGCGCCCGAAGCCAUUAGGCCGAGGGCACGCCUGCCUGGGCGUCACACGUCGUUGCCCCCCCAUCUACUCCUUCGGGAUUGCGGGGGGCGGAUGAUGGCCUCCCGUGCGCCUAGUCGCGCGGUUGGCAUAAUAGCCAAGUCCUCGGCGACGCACGCCACGACAAUCGGUGGUUGCGAAACCUCGGUUGCCCGUCGUGUGCGGUCGUCGCGCAUCGAGGGCUCGAAAAAAUUGCCGGGCUCCGGCUCGGCUUUCAACGCGACCCCAGGUCAGGCGGGGUUACCCGCUGAAUUUAAGCAUAUCAAUAAGCGAGGA
RNAcentral lists this unclassified non-coding RNA (390 nucleotides) under soil metagenome. RNAcentral's name for it is "partial contains 5.8S ribosomal RNA, internal transcribed spacer 2, and large subunit ribosomal RNA". The stretch from base 1 to 122 matches the Rfam family "5.8S ribosomal RNA", at positions 35 to 154 of the family's 154-position model. The record is from RNAcentral.